UAUUGCUGUUGAUCCAUGGCAUUGUAAUGGCACCUUUUUUCCUUAGCUAUAGGGAUGAUAUUGCAAGAGAUCAAGAGUUCCAGUGGCUGCCUGCCUCCCUACCAGAUCUUGUCGGCUCCUCAGGCUCUGCCGGGCACCAGAAGCUGAAGCAGGAUUAUGGAACUCCUAAGCCCUACAGCUUUUCUCCUCCCAGGCUUGCAACGGGACAAUGAAAAUCCUCAAACCUUACCCAUAAACUUAAUGGAGCCCUGGGGCCAUGUGAG
RNAcentral lists this long non-coding RNA (263 nucleotides) under Crocodylus porosus (Australian saltwater crocodile). RNAcentral describes it as "lncRNA (ENSCPRG00005010110.1)". The record is from RNAcentral. Lineage: Eukaryota; Metazoa; Chordata; Crocodylia; Crocodylidae.